This is a small nuclear RNA of Saimiri boliviensis boliviensis (Bolivian squirrel monkey), 116 nucleotides long. The record is from Ensembl. NCBI's taxonomy places the organism in Eukaryota, Metazoa, Chordata, Mammalia, Primates, Cebidae.
GUGCUCACUUGGGCAGCACAUACACUAAAAUUGGAACUAGAUAGAGAUUGGCAUGGCCCCUCAGCAAGAAUGACAGGCAAAUGCGUGAAGCCUUCAAUAAGAAAUAAAAAAUUUUU